This 8809-nucleotide long non-coding RNA is filed under the name Xyrichtys novacula (pearly razorfish). Lineage: Eukaryota; Metazoa; Chordata; Actinopteri; Labriformes; Labridae. The record is from RNAcentral.
AGUGGCUCAUUAGAGCUGCUGUUCUAUGUUCCUACGUCCGACCGCUCGCUCCCUGUUUCCUGGACCUAACCCCCCAAACAAUCCCUGUGUCCGUGUGUGUGUGUGUGUGUGUGUGUGUGUGUGUGUGUGUGUGUGUGUGUGUGCGUCAGCUGGCUAUACUCAGGCCUGAGUUCGGACAGGCGCAGGGGACAGGGAGGGGAGGGAGGAGGGGAGUCAGGGCCUUUUCACCGGCACAAAGACAUAAUUAACCAAAUUGGCAAAUAGUUUGAGAAACCGCCUCCUGACCAUUGUGUGGAGCCUUCGGUUACCAUAGCAACCCCGAAUUUGCUUGUAUUUUAUGUGUGUGUGUGUGUUGUGUCGGACGACCAAAUUAAAAGUCACUAACGAUUAUCAACCACAUCAUCCAGGACCACACACACACACACACACACACACACACACACACACACACACACACACACACACACACACACACACACACACACACACAAACAGAUUUUUUUUAGCUGAGUCAUCUUCUCUCCUUAAAUUACCGUAAAUUCUGUAAUAUAGACUGUUUCCUUUUACCGCAGGAUGAGUCAGGCCUUUAUAUGAAGCAGGCUUGUAUUUGAGGCAGGCCUUUAUUUCACUCUGAGUAAUCAUAAACUAUUCUUGUUUUAGAACAAAGUGAGGACCUGAUUCACUAAACCUGUGCAAGAUUAACCCCCACAUCCAGAAUGGCUCCUAUCCGCAACGGCGGCAAAUUUUGCCGUCCGCCAAUUCCUACCAGAUCUGCACUCACGCGAUAACGAGUUGUCUCUCUAAAGACAGACACAUAGACAUAUGAGCUGUAGAUUGUGUCCUUCCAGAGGAGGAAAUCUACUUCUAUACUUCUAGAAUCAGCAUCUCCACCAACAUUAGUCCUGAAAGAAACACUAUCGAGCCGACAGCGCAGUCUUCAUUCAUGUUGUCAGGAUCAACUCUGAGUGAUGAGGUCAGAGCGUGAAGUUAGGGCGCCACGACACACGACCAAACGUUAAAAACACCAACGAAUCAAACGGCGAAGAAUCAGCUGUUUGUUUCUGAUGUGAUAUAAAGAUGAUCACAUGACUGUCACCCUCAUGGCUUCACACUUCUUAUCCAUCCCAGAGCUGUGUGUGUGUGUGUGUGUGUGUGUGUGUGUGUGUGUGUUUGUUAUUGUGUCAGUCAGCUGACUCUCUGUGAGUCAAUCAAACAUCGAUCACUGUAACAGUGGGACAGACAUCAAGGACAAACUGCGUGUGGAUCAAUAAAUGCACGGCUGCGCUGUGUGCGUGUGUGUGCGUGCUCGUGUGUGUGUGUGCGUGUGUGUGUGUGUGAGGUUGGAGCUGCUACAGAAACUAAAACACUCGGUAUUCAAACCGCAGCUGCAUAAGACAUGAGUUUAUCUAUCAAAUAUAGAUUUCAGAGCCGCAGCAGCAGCAGCAGAAGUUGUUUUGUUCUAAGUUUAGUCCAGAGAAAGUUGCUGCUGUUUUCCCGGAGUUACUGUAAGGUUGCGAGGUUUGUGUCUGUUUGUUUGUUUGUUUGUUUGUUUGUGUGUCUGUCUCUGCGUUGCGCUCUUCCUCCCGCCCGCCCGCCCGCCGACUCCAGCCCCGUUUUGAGGUUACUUUCUGUAAAGUUGUGCCUUUUGGCACCGAGCAGCGUUGUGGUUUGGGAGCUCGAAGCUUGGUUAAAGAUAAACUUCAGGUCUGACUGAAGAGUUCACUCUUUCUCGCUCUCUUCCCCUCCCUCUGUCUCUCUCUCUCUCUCUGUUUCUUCCCCUCCCAUCCCUCGCUCGGCCCCCAGAGUCACAACAAGAAGCAGCAAACAGCUUGUGCAUCGUUCGUACCAGGAGAAAAUGCCCCAUUUUCAUCUGUUUGAAUCUGACAUUUUUGGCACAUUAAAUAUUGGACAUUAAUAAAUUAAAUGUAAUGAACUGACAUGAAAGGAGAAAAAAGUCCAAUGGUACAAUGCGAGGAAGUAUAAAAGGCAAGAGUGCAAAAGGAGGAAGCAAAACAACAACUCCAAAGAAGGCGCAAACUUUUUUUCUUUAAUUCCAAUUAACUCUCGCCUUCUGCAGCCAUCGGAGAUUAUUUUUCAUGUUCAUUUAUUCAAACAAAUAUUGAAUAAUUUAUCGCAGUGGGAAUAACAACACGAGGAAUCACAGCUCUGGGUGCUGGUGGAGGAGAGAGGCCCGUCUGUGAGGAGGAGAGAGGCUCUUCAUUAAUACGACUUAUUGGUCAUUUAAUCUAAUUAGACCUCCGCUGUCGGUUUUGUAAGAGUGAAAAAAUCAUCACAGCUGAUCAUCUGUGACCAGCGCCGCACUCACUUCCUGCCUGAUUGGAUUUAUGUGGCGCUCUGAGCUCGGUCACAUUAUCUGUAACAUCAUCUCGUGUACCUUUGUGUGCUCAUGAAUAUUUCACACCUGUACUUAGCGUAGGUGCUGCUCCUGUCUUAUCUGUGUCAGUGUGUUUAUGUGUGUCGCUGGCCUGUAUGUAGGUCGCUGUAAGUGACACCCGGGGUCACACCCCAUGAUUGUGUUGCAUAACAUUUGGACUUCCACGGGUCUCUGAGUCCUCCUCUCUCCGCCCAUCAGCCCACCUUUAAAUCCACCUGCUGACCCACGGCGCAACGAUUGAUCGAUUUUAGAUCCUAAUCGGAUUAUUUAAUGAUGACGAUAUUAGAAUCAGAAUUGUCCAAUCGGUUUUCCUCUCUAUCACGUCUCGCGCCUUUCGGCCACCGUAGGCUCCUCCUUCCAUGCGGUUCCCACACACACCAGUGUAAACAAACAUGGCGUUUGUAAAAGAAGGCGAUAACUUCAUGACGAGAGCGAGUCAGUUGUGUUGAAACGACUUCACAGUUUCAGAUGAAGAGCAAACCACCAGAGAUCUGCUGAUCCGAGAGACGGCGGCGGCUCUCAGGUAACCAGACUUCAGGUGGUGCUCCAAUUAAAUAAUCAAUCAAUCUUUAUCCAUACAGCGCCAAAACUAAACAAACGUUAUCUCAAGAGGCUUCACAAAAAAAAGACGUGAGGAUGAGAUAAGAUCGAGUCCCACUCUGAUUUCAUCUUCAUUUAUCAGCCUUUAGAAAGUCACAGAGGAGAGGAGAACCUCCUUUAACGGACAGAAACCUCGAGCAGAACCAGACUCAUGGUUUUAAAACCUUCACUGACUCCGCCCCCUUCACACCGCCGGACAAUCUGGUGAGAAGCUCUUUAAAACCGUCUGGUAAUCGGCCCCAAACCUGCAUGUGAACCCUGAUCUUUAAAUAAACUUGUGAUACCUGUGAUCUUAUUUUUAUUUUUACCAGAAUGAAAAAUGUUGAAAAAAACAUACAAACAAAAAAAAGUCCUUGAGUCUGAUCUACGGCCCCGAAGGUUUUCAUUUUGGGCGAUCACGGUUCGAUAAGAUGGUCAUAAAAAUAAAAUCUCUCUCUCGGCGCAUCGAUCAUCAUUCCUGGAUGUAAAUUUCUGACAUUGUUCAGAUUUUUGAAGGUUUUCUAAAACAUCUUUUCUGCUGAAGGACUCAGAGCAGAGGAGACUCUCAGGUUUUCAGUUCCUCAGAAAUAAACUCCAUGAAUAUGAACAGCUGUGGUGUCUCUCUUCAUGCUGACCCGCCUCAGGACCAAUUAUCUGUUUCCUCUCUUCCUCCAUUAGAGGUCCGUGAAGAGCUGACAGGUAGACACGAGACCAAUCAUCCGUCCCCAAACUAAUAACAGCAGCGACCACGACUGACAACACGGCGUCCAAUUUACAUCGACGUCAGCGUCACAGAGGAGGUUAAACCGGCGAAGACAGACGAGUGUGGAGACCGUGAGGGAGAGGAAACCUUCAAAACCUGAAACUGCAGAAGUAACGUGUCACAUGACCUGUUACAGCCAGAACACAUGACUCAGUAACACGUUACCUGGUCCGACAGGUGAGUUAACCCGACAGAGAGACUCGGUCUGGACCAGAACUCUGAAUAUUGAUCAGUGAUCGAAGGAGAUUUUAGGGUUCAGGUUUUCUGAAAACACUCUGAGCUUCUUCGUCUUUUUCUUCGUCUUCGUCUUUUUCUUCGUCUUUUUCUUUGUCUUCUUCUUUUUCUUCUUCUCCUCCUCCUCUAUCUCUCCUGACUUCACUGACAGCUUGGCUCCACCACUGAGGUGCCAAAAAGUGGCACCAGAACCCCAGAUCUCCCUCCUCCACCCGUCCUCCCCGCCCAGAACCUCCCCGUCACCCUCCUCUGGAUCGAGUCCCCCUCAGAGGGUGAGGCCGGGUCUACACCGCUGCGAUUACAGAACCAGAAGACACUGGAGUCCUACGACCAAACCAGAGGGGAGGAGGGGAGGAACGAUGGCGGCGGAGGAGGAGGGGGACGGAGGAGGACUUCAAAAACCAACAACAAUAACAAGAAAACAAACAAGAGAAAAAAACACAAGUGAGAGAAGAAGAAGAAGCAGCAGCAGCCAAGGUCCUCCGACUAAUUAAGACGAUGAGCAUUUCUUAUUUAUGAGCUUUAAUGAGCAGCUUUUCAAUAGUUUGUUUUUGCCUAAUAUGAAUAUUUCCUUUUCAUUAUCGAACACAGACGAACUCUCUCAUUCUUUCCAAUAAUCACAUCCUGGAUUUUCUCCUCCGGAUUCUUCGCUUUUAGUUUCUUUGUUUCUUUGUUUUUCUGCAGAUGAACUUCGGAGAGUUUCAAAGAUCCAGAGAGUCCGAGGAUUCCACGGCCUGAGCGGUUAACGCCGAGGUUUGAGUUUUAGAGUGAUUAUUAUCACCUGAGAGAGAGAGAGAGAGAGGGAGAGAGAGAGAGAGAGAGAGAGAGAGAGAGAGGGAGAGAGAGAGAGAGGAAGGCUGCAGGGUUUUUUCAUUUUUAUCAUUUCUACAAAGAUCAUUAAAUUACACACGGACAGAGAAGUUCAUUCAUCAAAAAUCUCAUUUAUGUGAUUCUCUCAGUCAGACUGAUAUUUGUGGACUGAUUUGAAGACCUGAAGCAGAUUCAAACUGUCCUCAGUCCACAUGCAGACCUGGACCUGGACCCUGAACAGGAUAAAGUCACGGCGGUACGAUGGUGUGAAAACCCUGAUCCGGUCUCAGACAGACCUCCUGGAUAAAAGUGUCUUUCUCACACUAACAGGCAGCCGUUCAUGAUCAGGUGUUUCUCCUCUUCUCUGUUUUUAACCCAUUAUGAGUCACAGAGCGCCAAAAACCGGCGUGCAGCGAGGGCGGAUUGAUUGUUUUCAGCAACAUUAUCAUCCCCACCAAAAAAGGAGACACGAUCGAUGAUCAGAAGUUCAUCACAGUCGUGUUUACCUCCCGCUGAAAAGACCAACGAUCCUCUGAUCGUCAUUAAAACCAAAUCAUCAUCCAGACAAACCGGGCCCAGAGCCGGAUCCACUCAGACCCCCGUGGGUGAAAACCAGGAGAGGGAUCGAUGUGUGUGUGUGGGGGUGGGGUCAAUCUACAGCAAUUCAUCUGUGUGUGUGAGUGUGUAUGAGAGAGAGAGAGUGUGUGUGUGUGUGUGUGUGUGUGUGUGUGUGCGCGCCCUGUCUCUGAGGCCAUAUGUUCGACUGUAAUUACACACACUCUUCCUCUCUGUCAGGUUGGACUUCCUGUAUGUUUGUUUGAAGUAGGUUUGGGUGAUUCGGUAAAAAAAAUGAUCACGAUAUAUUUCGUCAUAUCGCCGAUCUCGAUUAUUAUCACGAUUUUUCUUUAAACUGUCAGUUUUAAAUCAUCUGAACUAAACACUAAAGAAACUGGAGAUUAGUUCAAGAUUUUAUGAACAUACGAAGUCAAUAAAGAAAAUUCAAUAAGAUAAACAGAAAAAUAUUAAAAACAUUUUAAUUCAGUAAAACAAAUGUAGAUAAAAACUAGAUAACAGUGAGCUUGUUCACAGUCUGAGUGUUUCUGCAGGAAUGAAAGAAAAAUAAACAAAUGUCCCCUCAGAGAGAAUGAAGACGCCUUAAACUGUCAACAUUAGAUGAUGUAAACGUAGAUGAGAUGAUUGAUUGCUUUGGUCUGGUGUCUGUACCGCUAGUUGUAGCUAAACUGCUAAUGCUACUCGUGUUUUCAGCAGUGACAGGCUGUACAGACUCCGCCCACAUUUUCAUACUUUCCUCAUAAUCACUCGGACUAACCGCCGACAUACCUUACACAUCGGCUUAAUUGCUCAACAUCACUUUGGAGAUACCUGAACCACCGCCACACAACCGACGAUCAAUAACUUCUCAACAAUAACAUCUUUGGAGGAUGAUAAAGUCACGGCUGACAUCUAUUCUGCUGCCCUCAGCUCCAUGUUCGGUCAGUCUGUUUAUUUCUCCUUACAGAAGUGAGCAGGAAAAGCUCGACUCUGAUUGGCUGUUGUGACCCAAAUUUCCACCAUGUUUGAUCGGGUAAAUACGCUCACGGCUGAUCACCGUGAUCGAACUGAAACUUAUCACAAUCAUCGAUCAUGAUCCUAUAAUCGCCCAGUCCUCGUAUGAAGUGUGUUCUUCUGUGUCCAACCUGAAACUAACUUCACCGCAGUAUUUACAGGAAAAAAAACAUUUGUUUCCUCGGCGGAUUUGUUUUUUUGCACAUGUGACCCUAAAUAUAUUUUACAAUUCACACACAUCUAUUUUUAGUCAUAAAUGUGAGUGAAACAGUCGCACUGUGGAGUCCUGGUUUAGGUUAGGACAGGUCUGAGUCUGAUCCCGUCUUUACAUCAGAGUCUGAUCUAGACCAGCUUUUCUACGUUAAACAUAUUUAAGAAAACUCUCGUCGUGAAAUGGCGAAAUAGACCCCGCCCUGUAGACCCCACCCUGUAGACUCGGCCCUGUAGACCCCUCUCCACAUUAAGCCCUUCUGUGCUGUGAGUGAAUUCAUCAACUGUGUGUCCAUAAUUUCUCUGUUUGGUUUUGAUGUGAUUUAUUCUGUUGUGUGUUUUCUGUGUGUGUGUGUGUGUGUGUGUGAGGGUGAUGAGUUGUGACAGGUGUUGUGGCCGCUAGUGCAGUGGGAGGAGGCGGGGUGUUGGUGGGGGGGGAGUAAACGAGAGCAACACAGAUGAUUAUUUAAUUACUGUCUAAUACUCCGCACCCCUCCCUCCCUCCCUCCCCCUUUACUCCUCCUCUCUCUAUCUUCCCCUUCUCUUUCUCUCCCACUCUCUUUGCCCCCCAGCCCUCCCCCACCACUCACACACACACACACACACACACACACCUCCUUCCUCCGUUUUCAUCCUUUCUUUAUUAAUGAACAAUCCGGGCCUUUCUACAAAUCCACCGGGGCUUACUGCACCCCCCAGACACUCUGUGUGUGUGUGUGUGUGUGUGUGUGUGUGUGUGUGUGUGUGUGUGUGGUAAAAAGGGGGGUCUAGUAGGCUUCUCUCUUAGGAGGAUUCACACAAACACACAGAAACACACACACACGGAGAAACACAAAUUUCCAAACCGAUCAGCGCCUCUACCUUCUGCGUCUUACAUUGCCUUAAAUUAAUGCAAGCAGGAUACGUGUGUUUGUGUGUGUGUGUGCGUGUGUGUGUUUGUGUGUGUGUGCGUGUGUGUGGUUUGUGUCUAUGUUACUCAGAUCUUUUCCUUCAUGCAUGUAUAAAGUAGAAGUUUGCAAACACAGUUUAGUCUCAGCUCACCUCGUCUCGGGCCUGUUACACACUCGUGCAUGUGUGUGUGUGUGUGUGUGUGUGUGUGUGUGUGUGUGUGUGUGUGUGUGUGUGUGUGUGUGUGUGUUCAGGUGAGUGUCAGUGUGUCAUGUUGCCGCUGACAGUGACAGUGUGUGUUGCGUCACUCUAACCCAGUUCUGUCCUGAUGGCGGUCUGCAGGAGUGCAGCGGUUGUGUAGAGUGUGUGACGCGGCAGCAGGUCCUGACAGUCUGCAGAAACAACCGAGAGGAGAUCAGAAGAGGGGAUGGAGGUCGCCACGGAGACCGCUCUCGCUUUACAACACCACCAACACCACCACCAGACCGGCUUCACUGAGAGGAGGAGGGAACAGAGGCCAGUGUGUCAGGGUGAGAAAUAAAGUCGAAGUGAUUUAUGAUCCAGAAAAGUUAUAAUCAAAGUCGAACACUGAGAACAGAAGAGAACGACUGACUGAGAGCGAGAUCACCGCCUACUGAUGACCAAAACAACAACAGCUGAUGAUUAAACAGCUGAUGAUUAAACAGCUGAUGAUUAAACAGCGCCUACAUGUCAUAACACAGUGGUUCUCAAGUGGUGGGUCCGACCCAAAAGUGGGUCACGUACAUGUUCUGGACAGGUCGCCAACCGCUGGUCAAAAAGUAAAUAUUUAAUGCGUAGCUGAUGUUUGACAUGUGUUUUAUUUUGAAAAAUACCUUAUUUUGAAAUGCAUAAAAGUCAAAUUUUUAAUGUUGUUGGUCUCCAUUUUGUGUAAUUUGAUAUUUUCUGUAUAUGUAACUUCAGUAGUUGUCAUCCUCAGUUCAUGUGUUGUGUAUUUAUGUUAAAUAUAUAUUUACGCCUUUUUUAUCAUAGCUACUUAAAGAUUUUAUUUUCUUUUUUAAUUAAUUUGUUUGGUUUGAAUUCUAUUAAAGUGGGUCGCCACUAAAGGAUUAUGGGAAAAUGUGGGUCCCAGAGUGAGACACGUUGAGAACCGCUGACAUAACCUUCAGUUUUAGUAGAUCUGACAGGAUACAGACUUUCACCUCACCGUCAAACUUCAAUAUAACUCAUAAAACAUUUGAAUCUCAGGCUUUUAUUUUGAAAUUCUACAUGCAGACCUUUGGUGACUGAUUUAAGGUCAUCUGCAGCCUCAGUUCGAUUUGACAAAGGGGAGGUGUGACCUUCUCUGAUCGCUGCUCUGGUUCCUCCAUCGUCUCUCCUCUGAA